This 1014-nucleotide long non-coding RNA is filed under the name Salmo salar (Atlantic salmon). Its description in RNAcentral is "lncRNA (ENSSSAG00000054400.2)". Lineage: Eukaryota; Metazoa; Chordata; Actinopteri; Salmoniformes; Salmonidae. The record is from RNAcentral.
GUUCACUGUGUUUCAUUGCUGUGUGCUGUGGAGCUGCUGUGGCACUGUGGUGCAAACAGAGAAAUACAAUGUGAAGGAAGUCAGGAGAACAGGAAGAACCAUCAACACUCAACCCUCAACAUGAUGACCCUGAAAUCUAGAAGUCUAAUCUAACAGGCCAGCCGUGCUGCCCUGUUCUGAGACAACUACACUUGUGGCUCCUGACCACACUACUGAACAGUAGUCCAGGUGUGACAAAACUAGGGCCUGUAGGACCUGCCUUGUUGAUAGUGUUUUUAUGAAGGCAGAGCAGUGCUUUAUUAUGGACAGACUUCUCCCCAUCUUAGCUACUGUUGUAUCAAUAUGUUUUGACCAUGACAGUUUACAAUCCAUGGUUACUCCAAGCAGUUUAGUCACCUCAACUUGCUCCAUUUAAACAUUAUUCAUUUUGAGAUGUAGUUGAGGUUUAGGGUUUAGUGAAUGAUUUGUCCCAAAUACAAUGCUUUUAGUUUUGGAAAUAUUUAGGACUAACUUAUUCCUUGCCACCAAAUCCAAAACUAACCGCAGCUCUUUGUUAAGUGUUGCAGUCAUUUCAGUUGCUGUAGUAGCUGAUGUGUAUAGUGUUGAGUCAUCUGUAUACACAGACACACUGGCUUUACUUAAACAGCUACCCUGGGAAAUUCCUGAUUCUACCUGGAUUAUGUUUCCAUUAAAGAACACCCUCUGUGUUCUGUUAGACAAGUAACUCUUUAUCCACAUUAUAGCAGGGGGUGUAAAGCCAUAAUACAUAUGUUUUUCCAGCAGCAGACUAUGAUCGAUAAUGUCAAAAGCUGCAAUGAAGUCUAACAAGACAGUCCCCACAAUCAUUUCAUCAUCAAUUUCUCUCAGCCAAUCAUCAUUCAUUUGUGUCAGUGCUGUGCUUGUUGAGUGUCCUGAAAGUCUGUUGUCAAUUUGUUGUCAAUUUGUUUACUGUGAAAUUACACUCUAUCUGGUCAAAAAAAAAUUUACCAGAAGUUUACUAAGGGUUGGUAACAG